GCUGGGCACGGUGGCGGGCGCCUGUAAUCCCAGCUACUUGGGAGGCUGAGGUGGGAGGAUAGCUUGAGCCUGGGAGGUCGAGGCUGCAGUGAGCCAUGAUUGCACCACUGCACUCCAGCCUGGGUGACAGAGCAAGACCCUGUUUCAA
RNAcentral lists this non-coding RNA (148 nucleotides) under Pan paniscus (pygmy chimpanzee). RNAcentral also lists the same sequence under 1 other name. The record is from Rfam by way of RNAcentral. Lineage: Eukaryota; Metazoa; Chordata; Mammalia; Primates; Hominidae.